Molecule: ribosomal RNA, 507 nt
Filed under: uncultured bacterium
Lineage: Bacteria
Description: partial 16S ribosomal RNA
Rfam family: Bacterial small subunit ribosomal RNA
Source: RNAcentral
GAUGAACGCUAGCUACAGGCUUAACACAUGCAAGUCGAGGGGAAACGAUAUUGGAAGCUUGCUUCCGAUAGGCGUCGACCGGCGCACGGGUGAGUAACGCGUAUCCAACCUGCCCACCACUUUGGGAUAACCUUGCGAAAGUAAGACUAAUACCCAAUGAUAUCUCUAGAAGACAUCUGAAGGAGAUUAAAGAUUCAUCGGUGAUGGAUGGGGAUGCGUCUGAUUAGCUUGGUGGCGGGGUAACGGCCCACCAAGGCGACGAGCAGUAGGGGUUCUGAGAGGAAGGGACCCCACAUUGGAACUGAGACACGGUCCAAACGCCUACGGGAGGCAGCAGUGAGGAAUAUUGGUCAAUGGGCGAGAGCCUGAACCAGCCAAGUAGCGUGCAGGAUGACGGCCCUAUGGGUUGUAAACUGCUUUUAUAAGGGAAUAAAGUGAGUCUCGUGAGACUUUUGCAUGUACCUUAUGAAUAAGGACCGGCUAAUUCCGUGCCAGCCGCCGCAGUAA